Molecule: non-coding RNA, 2258 nt
Organism: Mus caroli (Ryukyu mouse)
Lineage: Eukaryota; Metazoa; Chordata; Mammalia; Rodentia; Muridae
Source: RefSeq, a predicted model, not a curated record
ACACCAAGGUUGUAGUAUGUCUGAAUGCUAUGCAAAAUGUAUGGUUUCAUGAAGUUUCCUGGAGGAUUCCUCUUUCAGAUAUCUUAGCAUUCCAUGGUAUGACUAGAGCCAAGAAAGAUGGUCAAGUGCUGCCUAGCUAUAAGCUUGGACUCCAUGGGCAUUUUUCUGGGUAUACUCUGUUUACUCAUAAGACUUAUACCUGUGAUUGACCUACUAUGAAGGUUCGUGUGCAAUUAAACUUUAUAUGAUUGUUUUGGAGAUAAUUCAUUCCAUGAUGUUAUUUGAAAUACAUGCUUAUCUAGAAAAAUACAUAGAGAAUAUCUGAAGUAAGUCAUUAACUUCUAUUAUUUUUUAAUACAGAGGGUCUGUGAAGAGGCAGAACAACAAUGCUAUAUGCUCUCUAAAAGUAUGUUGUCAUGAUCACAUUGAUCAGCCAAUUCUGCCAUAGCAUUCUUCCAAGAAAUGUGCUGAGUAAACUCCACUAUCUGUACCAUUUCUCUUUUUGCACACUACUAUAGUAUAUCAUUUUCCAAAAGCUCAACUUCCUGCCCAACAUAAAGAAAAGACUUCCUGUACUCUCCAGGUCCAGACUCCACAGUGGCCCUUUUAUGUAUGAUGACAACCAAUGCCCAAGUCCUCUGGAUACAGGUAGUUCAGGACUCUUGCUAAGAUAUCAAUUGAUCCUAGAAAGGACUGGUGGUACACACCUUUAAUAACAGCUUUCUGGGGUUAGAGGUAGGUGGAUCUCUAUGAGUGUAGGUCAGGCUGGUCUACCUUGUGAGUUUCAGACCAACCUGGGUAAUGCAAAGAAAACUUGUCUCAAUAAAACAGAGGAAGUGAUGUAGAAAGACCUUGUUUCCAAAAAUCAAAGGGAGAAAGAGAGACAAAGAUAUAGAGAGAGACAGAGAGACAUACCAAGAGAAACACAGGAGCCAAAAGAGUUCAUAUAAGAAAAGAGGGAGAGAAAAAAACUGUGCAUUUAUUCCUUUGCUUGUUCUCUUGUUUAUUGGGAUUAUUACAUUCAUCAUUUGCCAUGUUGAUGGUUAUGUUCUCUUACUGAAGGUAAUAACAUGCAGUUGUUCAAAUUUUGCAUCUAUUUUCUUUUUUUUUGCAUCUAUUUUCUAAUCAAACAUUUUUCUAGUAUUGUAAAUACUUACAUUCCACUGAUUCUCUAGGCUAAAAGUUGAUAUGGUUUCCAGUUUGCACAAUGUCUGGAGUGCUCCACUAUAACCUGCUCAGACAUUUAUAAAUAUUUCAUUCCUUAGGCACACAAAUUCAUAUUCGAGUGACCUAAACACCAUGAUAUACUCAGCAAGAUGAAAACUGAACUUACUACACAUCAAAACCUUUUCUUAUUCCUAAUGUCAUUCAUUUACCCAUGGCAGAUAAGAGCCUUAGCAAUUAUAUGGAGUCCUAAAUUUUUAAUUGCCAUUCAAAGAUACUGAGAAAAGCACUGUGCCUUGCUAACAGACACCUGGCCUCAAAUUACGAUUAUGCCAUUUUUAGAUCUGUGCAAUUAUAGGCAAUUUCCUUGAUUUCUCUGAACUCUGUAAAAUUGUAUCAUAUUCAGUUUUUGGAGUUGUAUUACCUAUACAUGUAAUCCUUAAGAAUAAAAGCACAAUUUUCCCCUGGAGCAGUAGUCUCCUAAAUGUGUCUUAACUUCUAAAUCCUCAAAAACAUCAAUUCAUCUUUUCUAUUGUUUACCCAAUGAUUUAACAUGAAAUUUAAAUCAUUUUAUUCUUUUCAAUUGACUUAAAAAGCUUAGGAAGGGAGGAGUUAUAAAACCUUAGUUUUUGGAACAAAGUAUAUUAAAGAUAUGGCUCAAUCCUGUACUAAAAUAAUUUAGAGUUCUAUAUACAGGAAUGUGAUAAAUGCAAAUUAUUUAUUGCCUUUUAUAUGAACUAACAAAGUUAUCACAAAAUUAAUGACUAAUAAUAAUUACAAAAAAUUAAUUUCCAUCCCUAUGUAAAAUUAUAAUAAUGAAAAUGAUAGAAACAAAUGGUUUUUGAGUUUCAACUAUGCUAGCAAAUGAGCUGUUCUCCCAAUUGUACUCAUACAGUGGGAUGUUUUAAGUAUAUGUUGUUUGACUUAGGUAAAUUUCUAAGUUAAAUAGAUGACAAACUUGUUUGGUAUAUGAGUUUUAUCAUUAUGUGUAACUCAAUAUCAGUUUUAUUCAAAACUCUUACCAGGAGGCACUGAGUUUAUUUCACCACAGUACAAAAAAAAAAAAAAAAAAAAAAAAAAAAAAAAAAAAAAAC